Molecule: transfer RNA, 80 nt
Filed under: Fervidicoccus fontis
Lineage: Archaea; Thermoproteati; Thermoproteota; Thermoprotei; Fervidicoccales; Fervidicoccaceae
Also listed under: 1 other name
Description: tRNA-Leu
Source: RNAcentral
GCAGGUCUGCCCGAGCAUGGCCAAAGGAUCGGACUCAGGCUCCGAUGGAGAAGCCCUGUGGGUUCAAAUCCCCCGCAUCA